CCUACGGGAGGCAGCAGUCGAGAAUCAUUCACAAUGGGGGAAACCCUGAUGGUGCGACGCCGCGUGGGGGAAUGAAGGUCUUCGGAUUGUAAACCCCUGUCAUGUGGGAGCAAAUUAAAAAGAUAGUACCACAAGAGGAAGAGACGGCUAACUCUGUGCCAGCAGCCGCGGGAAUACAGAGGUCUCAAGCGUUGUUCGGAAUCACUGGGCGUAAAGCGUGCGUAGGCUGUUUCGUAAGUCGUGUGUGAAAGGCGCGGGCUCAACCCGCGGACGGCACAUGAUACUGCGAGACUAGAGUAAUGGAGGGGGAAGCGGAAUUCUCGGUGUAGCAGUGAAAUGCGUAGAUAUCGAGAGGAACACUCGUGGCGAAGGCGGGUUCCUGGACAUUAACUGACGCUGAGGCACGAAGGCCAGGGGAGCGAAAGGGAUUAGAUACCCCUGUAGUC
RNAcentral lists this ribosomal RNA (446 nucleotides) under uncultured bacterium. RNAcentral's name for it is "partial 16S ribosomal RNA". It matches the Rfam family "Bacterial small subunit ribosomal RNA", at positions 338 to 795 of the family's 1533-position model. The record is from RNAcentral.